Molecule: long non-coding RNA, 1256 nt
Filed under: Sinocyclocheilus grahami
Lineage: Eukaryota; Metazoa; Chordata; Actinopteri; Cypriniformes; Cyprinidae
Description: lncRNA (ENSSGRG00000053546.1)
Source: RNAcentral
AAUGUUUAUUGCAUUUUCUGACAAUCUGUCAAUCAGGAUGUAGACCUGUGCAUGACAGGAAGAGCAAUGGAAGAUCCCAAAUCCAUUCAGAGGAGGUUUGAAGCGGCUGUUAAAGUGAUCCGAAGUGUACCUGAAGAUGGCUCCUAUGACCUGUCUGAUGAUAUGCUGGUUAUGUUCUACAGUUACUACAAACAAGCUACAGCAGGACCGUGUAACACCCCGAAACCCAACUCUUGGGAUCCUAUUGGUAAAGCUAAAUGGGAGGCAUGGAAAAUUUUGGGAAACAUGUCAAAGGACCAAGCCAUGGUGGAAUAUGUUCAGGAAAUACAGCAGAUAAUUGAAACCCUCCCGGUCACAGACAGGAUGGCAGAAUUAAUGGACGCUCUUGACCCAUUUUAUGAGAUGGUGGCGGAAGAUGAUGAUGAUGAAGAUGAUGCAUUCAGUAAAGCAGCACCCUUAUCCACAGGAAACACUAAUGGCGAAAAAACUGAUGAUGAUGAUGCUGCUGAGAAACUUAAAGCGGGGGAAAGUGAAAUUAAUGGGGAAAAUAAGAAAGAUGAGCUGGAGAUGGAGAAGAGGAGGAAAGGUACAGGAACAGCUUUGUGUCUGUAUUUUCAAGACGGUGAUCUGAAAGGAUUCAUAACACUGUAUUUGAGGACUUCUCAGCUCUUUUUUUAUUCUGCAGACUCGAGCACAUUUGCAGCAGGGAGAGGAGGUUCAUCAGUGUUUAAUGAAAGUGAGGAGAACAGCAUGUCCUCCUCAACCGAUGACGCUCAUAGUUCUCUGAACACGGGGGAGGAAGAGGAGGAAUUGACUUAUGAUGACUCAGACGAUGAGAUGUACAGUGACUCGAUGGAAAAUCCAGCAACUCAAGAGAAGGGUUCGGGAGUUCCUAGGGUCCAUUUGGCAGAUGUGAGCGUGGCUGGGGCCCGCAUGCAACAAGGGGGAAACAGAGAGCCUCAGUGUGGGAGUCAGGAUGGAAAGCCACAGGAAGCUACACUCCCCGUCCCCCACCCACCGACACUUGGACCGGUCCGAACUGACAGAAUCUCAGCAGGCAGUGGAAGAGGUUGGGCUCGAGUCAGUGUUUGAAUAAGUCUUGAGCACCGUGACGUCAACAAGCAAUAAUGUGAUCAACAAGCCAAUUUUCCACCAGCAUUUGUAUAAACGUACAAUGCGAGUGAAUACUAUUAUACUUCUGCUAGGAAUCAUUUCCUAAUAAGGCAAGCCUCUAUUGCUAUUGCAUGUGGCAUUUA